ACAUCAUUUUUGACAGAGACCCGGAUGCGCUAUUUUAACAAUGACUUUAAUACCUUUCUGAGGUGGUAGUGGCAUUGAUGUCUAUGGGGUAUUUCAUCAGUAAUAUCUUCAUUUGUGUUCCAAAGAUGAACGAAGGUCUUGUUGGUUUGGAAUGACUGUACCAGUCACACUGAAGCUCCUAUUCAAUAACUUAUACCAUGGUCUGUCUGAAUAUUCUGAUUGGCUGGCAGGUUCUGAGUUUAUGUCAGAAGUGUAGCUGGCCUUCUUCCAGUUGUUGGCUACAUUCUGAAAAGAUGCUGGAAAAAGAAAUGCAGGAUUCUUGCUCUAUGUCGGGUCCACCCUUUCUCUGGCUGUGGUGCCUCCAUUGUCC
Cyprinus carpio (common carp) is the source of this 370-nucleotide long non-coding RNA. RefSeq lists it as uncharacterized. The record is from RefSeq and is a predicted model, not a curated record. Lineage: Eukaryota; Metazoa; Chordata; Actinopteri; Cypriniformes; Cyprinidae. The transcript is spliced from 3 exons.